RNAcentral lists this ribosomal RNA (406 nucleotides) under uncultured bacterium. RNAcentral describes it as "partial 16S ribosomal RNA". It matches the Rfam family "Bacterial small subunit ribosomal RNA", at positions 30 to 526 of the family's 1533-position model. The record is from RNAcentral.
AUUGAACGCUGGCGGCAGGCCUAACACAUGCAAGUCGAACGAGCGGCGGACGGGUGAGUAAUGUCUGGGGAUCUGCCUGAUGGAGGGGGAUAACUACUGGAAACGGUAGCUAAUACCGCAUACCAUCAGAUGUACCCAUAGGGGAUUAGCUAGUUGGUAGGGUAACGGCUUACCGAGGCGACGAUCCCUAGCUGGUCUGAGAGGAUGAUCAGCCACACUGGGACUGAGACACGGCCCAGACUCCGACGGGAGGCAGCAGUGGGGAAUAUGGCACAAGGGGCGCAAGCCUGAUGCAGCCAUGCCGCGUGUAUGAAGAAGGCCUUCGGGUUGUAAAGUACUUUCAGUCGGGAGGCGUUACCGGCAGAAGAAGCACCGGCUAACUCCGUGCCAGAAGCCGCGGUAAUAC